UAGCCGCCUCUCCUCCUACUUCACUCUCUCAUCUGAUCACACACACACGUUCAAAAGCACUCACUAGCAUAUGAAUUCAAUUCUGAAAUUCAAAAGCCAUUUAUGAGAUUUGGAACAAAAGGCUCGAAAAUCAGAGGGAGAUUAGAAUCAAAAGCAAUUUCUGAAAUUAAUCUUCUAUUGCUAUAUUUAUUCUACACUUUCGGGAUUUUAAAGAGAUCCGAUUCAAAUUGCCGUUCGAUUUCCGCUGAUUUUGCUGUUUCUAGAGUCGUUGAGCUCCAUUCGAAUUUGUUCUUGCCUUUAUUUGGUUUAUUCUAGCUUUUUUUUUGUGCGACCAGGUUAGUUUGAAACUUCUCUGUCUUAUACUUUUAGAAAAUGAUUAAACAAUUAAGUUCCGGUUCAGUUAUUUUUGUGGCUAUGCUCGAGUCUUGAUCUCUGUUAUUCUCCUUUAUAAAAUUAAAACGUGAUGCCUAUUUGAAUUAAUUAAAUCCCUACUUUCCUUAUAAGAAUGAUGCGUUGGUUAUCUAAUCAUGUUAAGUUUAAUUACAUUUUUUACUUGAGAAUUAUUUAAUUUCAGCAGAUCUGCCUAGCUUUUUCUCUUAUGUGAUUCUAUUAUUUAGUGAAGUUUCCACC
Molecule: long non-coding RNA, 630 nt
Filed under: Nicotiana tabacum (common tobacco)
Lineage: Eukaryota; Viridiplantae; Streptophyta; Magnoliopsida; Solanales; Solanaceae
Description: long non-coding RNA (NTAB_LNC009389)
Source: RNAcentral